Small nucleolar RNA from Arachis stenosperma, 96 nucleotides. RefSeq annotates it as small nucleolar RNA Z159/U59. The transcript has a single exon. The record is from RefSeq and is a predicted model, not a curated record. NCBI's taxonomy places the organism in Eukaryota, Viridiplantae, Streptophyta, Magnoliopsida, Fabales, Fabaceae.
AUUUCUGAUGAGGAUCAAUUUCAGUAAAACUUUCGUUCUUCUUCUGAUGAACAAUUCUACGAGGAAUGCUUUUUUGAAGACCUGAACCGAGGAGGA